UACGUAUGCUACGUAUGUCCUGGGUAGUGAAGCACGUGUCGUACUCCGGUAGGAUGUAGAUGCGCUCGAGAGCACUGCUGGAGAAGUCGGAGCGCACCCUGUAGCAGUAUGGAACACCCCACCAGGACGACCGGUGCGAAGAGAAGAAAGUCGUCACCGAACCCCCGCGGAAGAAGGAGACGAGGUUCUCUGCCUUCGGCAGCUCGCUUAUGCUUUACCAAAGGUGCCAGUCGAGAAUCGUUCAAGGAUGUCGAAAUAAGUAGCGCUCUAUUCACCUUCAUCUCCUCCCCAAAUGUAUACCAGACUCUCUAUCAAAAAAGACAAAGGACUAC
Molecule: ribosomal RNA, 332 nt
Filed under: Triticum aestivum (bread wheat)
Lineage: Eukaryota; Viridiplantae; Streptophyta; Magnoliopsida; Poales; Poaceae
Description: partial small subunit ribosomal RNA
Source: RNAcentral